CCCAUGCCCUUACCCGCGGCGCGUGAAUACGAAGGGGGGCACAGCUCGGCCCCGAGGCCGCACCAAAGCUUGCUCAGCUCCUGCUGCCUCUGAGCCGCCGCCUCCGGCCGCCGAGGCGAAGGGCCACAGGCCCCGAGCUUUGGACCCGCUGGCGCCCAUGUCAGGGCCGCCGGCGCAUGGCGGGCCCCGUGGCCGCUCUGCUCACACCGCAGUCCGCACUACCAUAACCUGCCCCAGCCGCUGAUCGCAGGUGCCGCCGCCGCCGCCUUCCGCAGGCUCGGCUGUCUCCACGGAAACCUCACUUCCGCUUCCGCAUGUUCUCUGGGCUCAUUCCCCCAGCACAGGAGGGCCUCCAUGCACACUCAUUCCACAGGCCCCACUGGCCCUGUCACACUCACACGGCACGCACUUGGCGCUGCCUGCAGGCGUGCAGGGCCUCUUGGAUCUUCUGGCGGCAAUAGGAGUACUUCUGCAGGAUCUGGCGGAGGUGCUCCUCCUCCUCCCGCUGCAGGAUACGUAGGAAGUUAUGUAGUUCAGGCAUGCUGAAGGCGUCCCACUGCAAGGGGCAA
RNAcentral lists this long non-coding RNA (569 nucleotides) under Homo sapiens (human). RNAcentral's name for it is "HSALNT0054466". The record is from RNAcentral. Lineage: Eukaryota; Metazoa; Chordata; Mammalia; Primates; Hominidae.